GAUGAAGAACGUAGCGAAAUGCGAUAAGUAGUGUGAAUUGCAGAAUUCAGUGAAUCAUCGAAUUUUUGAACGCACAUUGCGCCCCUCGGUAUUCCGUGGGGCAUGCCUGUUCGAGCGUCAUUUAACCCCUCAAGCCUAGCUUGGUAUUGGGUGCUUGUCCCGCCUCUCGCGCGGCGACUCACCUCAAAGUCAUUGGCAGCCCGCAUCUCGCCGGCCGUGAGCGCAGCACAGACGCGCUCUUGGCAACGACGGAUCGGCUCUCCAAAAGCUUAUUUCAACCACUGACCUCGGAUCAGGUAGGGAUACCCGCUGAACUUAAGCAUAUCAAUAAGCGGAGGA
RNAcentral lists this unclassified non-coding RNA (339 nucleotides) under soil metagenome. Its description in RNAcentral is "partial contains 5.8S ribosomal RNA, internal transcribed spacer 2, and large subunit ribosomal RNA". The stretch from base 1 to 120 matches the Rfam family "5.8S ribosomal RNA", at positions 35 to 154 of the family's 154-position model. The record is from RNAcentral.